ACAGCAGUCGCCGCGGGAAUACGUAGGGUGCGAGCGUUAAUCGGAAUUACUGGGCGUAAAGCGUGCGCAGGCGGUUUUGUAAGACAGGCGUGAAAUCCCCGGGCUCAACCUGGGAAUGGCGCUUGUGACUGCAAAGCUAGAGUGCGGCAGAGGGGGAUGGAAUUCCGCGUGUAGCAGUGAAAUGCGUAGAUAUGCGGAGGAACACCGAUGGCGAAGGCAAUCCCCUGGGCCUGCACUGACGCUCAUGCACGAAAGCGUGGGGAGCAAACAGGAUUAGAUACCCGUGUAGUCCCUGUCUCUUAUAC
This 305-nucleotide ribosomal RNA is filed under the name uncultured bacterium. RNAcentral's name for it is "partial 16S ribosomal RNA". It matches the Rfam family "Bacterial small subunit ribosomal RNA", at positions 508 to 807 of the family's 1533-position model. The record is from RNAcentral.